GUGGAAGUUCUGCGGAAUCGGAGUCACAAUCUGAAUAUAUUCUCUAUUCUAAAGAAUGAUCUGUCCAUGUGUAAAGUGGAGACAUCUCCUUUGAUGGAGAUCUGCCAAAGGCAACUGGACAAGUAUAUAGAGACAGCAUCUACGGAGUGUCUCCACCAUGAUGUCUUGUUGCACCUUGUAUGGUUGUUGGCCGAGGACCUGAGAUCCCUGACUCAUGGUGACCGUUACAAUACACAGAGA
Molecule: long non-coding RNA, 240 nt
Organism: Pelobates fuscus (common spadefoot toad)
Lineage: Eukaryota; Metazoa; Chordata; Amphibia; Anura; Pelobatidae
Exons: 3
Source: RefSeq, a predicted model, not a curated record